RNAcentral lists this ribosomal RNA (1332 nucleotides) under Triticum aestivum (bread wheat). Its description in RNAcentral is "partial small subunit ribosomal RNA". Lineage: Eukaryota; Viridiplantae; Streptophyta; Magnoliopsida; Poales; Poaceae. The record is from RNAcentral.
AUGUCGUCAAAGCGCCACCCCGACGUGCAGGGCGUCGGCCGGAAGGCCAAGCGCCAGCGGCAGCGCCGCCACCUUUACUUCGUGGUCGACGACGGGGACGGGUACGCCAUCCGAAAGAUAGACCUGUCGCCGGACUACGACUCGGACGACGACGCGGCGCGGCACGAGGACGGGGAGAUCGAGACGGUGGGCGCCGCGUGGUCGCCCCUGCCGGAGGCCCUCAUCCGCCUGCCUGCCCAGACGGGCGAGUUCUUCGUCGCCAGCGGCACCAAGAUCCUGAUCACGAACUGCGGCUGGCCGGAGCACGCCGUCCCCGUCUUCGACGUGCACUCGCGGAGCCUCGCCCUCGGCCCUCGCCCCCACAGCCGGACGUGCCCGCACACCCCAAUCUACAUGCCGGUCGCCCGCAACGUGGUCUCCGUGGACGCCGGGUCCUCGACCAAGCUCCUCUACCCUCCCCCGCCGGAGCGCAGCAGCUUCGCGUGGUCGUGGCUGUGUUUUGAAUUUGUGCCGAAAAAACGGAUUUCGGCCGAAUUUCGGCCAUCUCGGCCCGGGGCGAAAUCUAUCUUUCAGCCGAAAUUGGUCGAAUUUGAAAAAUCUCAAACCGAAAAUCAAAACGCUGGGUCGUGGGACAAGCUGGCCGACAAGCCGCCGUUCAGGCGCGUCGACGUCACCUGCCACGCGGCGCAUCCCGACGGCCGGACGCUGUUCGUCAGCACCGUGAGCAAAGGCGCCCCCGCUACCUUCACCCUCGACACCGGCGCCGAGGACGGCGUCGGCGUGUGGAAGCAGCACGGCAGCUGGAAGCUGCCGUUCAAAGGCCAAGCCCUCUUUGACCCCGCGCUCGAUGCCUGGGUUGGCCUCUCCGGGGACAAGGACACCCUCGGCCACCUCUGCUCCUCCGACGUGCCGCCCGUCGACGCCGACGAUGCCGGCAGUGAGACGGCCCCCAUGUGGCGGCUCAGCAAGGAGAAGCUGUUCUGCAGGGACCCCGGCGAGGAGCACCUUGGUGCAGAGCUCGUCUACAUGGGAGGCAGAAGCAAGUUCUGCAUCCUGCAGUGCUUCUCCAUUGUGUAUGAUGAAAAGGACGACGACGACGACGAGGGCGACUCUUACCAGGAAGAUGACAUCGACGACGAGAGCGACCCUUACAAGGAGGAGGUGAAUGAGGAGAACCUACCUCGUCGCCAUCUGCUCCAGCUUAUUACGUUCACCCUCAAGUAUGACAAGAACGGAGAACUGACUACUGCCAAGCGCCGCCGGGUUCGAUGCUUCGAGCUGCUGCGUCAUGCUGAUCCGCUUUUUGAUGAUGUCCGAGCCUUCUGGAUAUAA